AUGAACGCUGGCGGCGUGCCUAAUACAUGCCAGUCGAGCGAACAGACGAGGAGCUUGCUCCUCUGACGUUAGCGGCGGACGGGUGAGUAACACGUGGAUAACCUACCUAUAAGACUGGGAUAACUUCGGGAAACCGGAGCUAAUACCGGAUAAUAUAUUGAACCGCAUGGUUCAAUAGUGAAAGACGGUUUUGCUGUCACUUAUAGAUGGAUCCGCGCCGCAUUAGCUAGUUGGUAAGGUAACGGCUUACCAAGGCAACGAUGCGUAGCCGACCUGAGAGGGGGGUCGCCCACACGGGAACUGGAACACGGUCCAGACUCCUACGGGAGGCAGCAGAAGGGAAUCUUCCGCAAUGGGCGAAAUCCUGACGGAGCAACGCCGCGUGGGUGAUGAGGGUCUUCGGAUCGUAAAACUCUGUUAUUGGGGAAGAACAGAUGUGUAAGUGACUAUGCACGUCUUGACGGUACUUAAUCAGAAAGCCACGGCUAACUACGUG
RNAcentral lists this ribosomal RNA (496 nucleotides) under uncultured bacterium. RNAcentral describes it as "partial 16S ribosomal RNA". It matches the Rfam family "Bacterial small subunit ribosomal RNA", at positions 29 to 507 of the family's 1533-position model. The record is from RNAcentral.